ACAACCACAAUUGUGAGAACAUCUCCAACCCCUCUUAGCCUCCACACACUCUUCUUAUGGGAUUUGAAUCGCUUGAGAGCUGGGUCUUCAGCCAAAAGAGCUUGCUCGCGAGGCCCAGGUUCGACGUGGAAUCNACGCGAAAGAGAGAGUGCGUCUUGAGAAUGAGACCGAAAAUGAGAAGAAAUGGUGGAAUUAUUGAG
This 200-nucleotide unclassified non-coding RNA is filed under the name Hevea brasiliensis (rubber tree). Lineage: Eukaryota; Viridiplantae; Streptophyta; Magnoliopsida; Malpighiales; Euphorbiaceae. The record is from RNAcentral.